RNAcentral lists this non-coding RNA (29 nucleotides) under Mus musculus (house mouse). Lineage: Eukaryota; Metazoa; Chordata; Mammalia; Rodentia; Muridae. The record is from RNAcentral.
GCAGCUUACUUAAAAUGGUCUUUGUUUGG